RNAcentral lists this ribosomal RNA (509 nucleotides) under uncultured Gemmatimonadota bacterium. Its description in RNAcentral is "bacterial SSU rRNA". It matches the Rfam family "Bacterial small subunit ribosomal RNA", at positions 8 to 522 of the family's 1533-position model. Lineage: Bacteria; Pseudomonadati; Gemmatimonadota. The record is from RNAcentral.
AGAGUUUGAUCCUGGCUCAGGACGAACGCUGGCGGCGUGCCUAACACAUGCAAGUCGAACGGGACCAGGGGCAACUCUGGUUCAGUGGCGGACGGGUGCGUAACACGUGAGGAACAUGACUUUCGGCGGGGGAUAGCCGGCCCAACGGCCGGGUAAUACCGCGUACGACCUCUCGGGGACAUCCCCGGUUGGUGAAAGCAGCAAUGCACCGAAAGAGUGCCUCGCGGCCUAUCAGCUAGUUGGUGAGGUAACGGCUCACCAAGGCAACGACGGGUAGCUGGUCUGAGAGGAUGGCCAGCCACAUUGGGACUGAGACACGGCCCAGACUCCUACGGGAGGCAGCAGUGGGGAAUAUUGCGCAAUGGGCGAAAGCCUGACGCAGCGACGCCGCGUGUGGGAUGACGGCCUUCGGGUUGUAAACCACUGUCGGGAGGGACGAAUGCGCCGCAAGGCGAGUGACGGUACCUCCAAAGGAAGCACCGGCUAACUCCGUGCCAGCAGCCGCGGUA